Molecule: small RNA, 253 nt
Filed under: Arabidopsis thaliana (thale cress)
Lineage: Eukaryota; Viridiplantae; Streptophyta; Magnoliopsida; Brassicales; Brassicaceae
Description: ATSL264100
Source: RNAcentral
UGCAUGAUUUAGGCAUUCAUUCUUCACCACUUUGUCAUUGUUUCAUCCACAUUUCAUCUCAUUAGGAGUUGUUUUGGUGUGUUUUGCAUACUUAGGAUGAUUUUGCAUUAGGAUUGCAUGUGUAUUGCAUAUUUGGUUGUUUUCAGGUACUUUGGAUGCUUUUGGAGUUCAAACAGAGGAGAAACAGAAGAGAAAGUCAGAAUGCCCAAUGACGCCUUCAGCAAAAGUACUCUAUCGCAGCCUCGGAGCCAUG